RNAcentral lists this ribosomal RNA (119 nucleotides) under Pteropus alecto (black flying fox). The record is from RNAcentral. Lineage: Eukaryota; Metazoa; Chordata; Mammalia; Chiroptera; Pteropodidae.
GUCUACAACCAUGCCACCCUGAACAAGCCUGAUCCCGUCUGAUCUCGGAAGCUAAGCAGGGUUAGGCCUGGUUAGUACUUGGAUGGGACACCACCUAGGAAGCCCAAGUGCUGUAGGCC